RNAcentral lists this ribosomal RNA (438 nucleotides) under uncultured bacterium. Its description in RNAcentral is "bacterial SSU rRNA". It matches the Rfam family "Bacterial small subunit ribosomal RNA", at positions 24 to 507 of the family's 1533-position model. The record is from RNAcentral.
UCAGAACGAACGCUGGCGGCAUGCCUAACACAUGCAAGUCGAACGAGGACCUUCGGGUCUAGUGGCGCACGGGUGCGUAACGCGUGGGAACCUGCCUUUAGGUUCGGAAUAACUCAGAGAAAUUUGAGCUAAUACCGGAUAAUGUCUUCGGACCAAAGAUUUAUCGCCUUUAGAUGGGCCCGCGUAAGAUUAGCUAGUUGGUGGGGUAAAGGCCUACCAAGGCGACGAUCUUUAGCUGGUCUGAGAGGAUGAUCAGCCACACUGGGACUGAGACACGGCCCAGACUCCUACGGGAGGCAGCAGUGGGGAAUAUUGGACAAUGGGCGAAAGCCUGAUCCAGCAAUGCCGCGUGAGUGAUGAAGGCCUUAGGGUUGUAAAGCUCUUUUACCCGAGAUGAUAAUGACAGUAUCGGGAGAAUAAGCUCCGGCUAACUCCGUG